RNA transcript from Lytechinus pictus (painted urchin), 4580 nucleotides. RefSeq lists it as uncharacterized. Lineage: Eukaryota; Metazoa; Echinodermata; Echinoidea; Temnopleuroida; Toxopneustidae. The record is from RefSeq and is a predicted model, not a curated record. The transcript is spliced from 7 exons.
UAUAUAUCAAGGACAAUGGACAGGAGGCAUGCGACAUGGCUACGGGAUCAGAAACAGUGUUCCAUAUGGCAUGGCUUCUAUCGUAAGACCAUCACUACGGACAUCCCUCACAUCGUUACGCAGCGAACAUGAAAAUGGUUCCAUCGCGAGCUCGCCGGAAAACUUUGGGCAGCGGGGAGGGUUUGCAAUGGACGUUUCCGACGACUGUACCUCCGACUUGGAAAGCAACAAGAGUGCCACACUUAAGCGGAAUGAGACCUCACGGAGGAGUAGGACACUCAUGGGUGGGUUUAGGAGCAAACGUAGGAAAGACAGGAACAGAGAUUCUUUGGUAGAAAGCGGGGGCAGUGUCGCUUCUCUGAGGCACAACCUUAAACAUCAAGACUCACUAAAGAGUAAUGAAAGUACUAUGAGCACAAGUUCAGUGCAAUCAUCAUGUUUUGAGAGUGAUAUGGGACACAUGCACGAAGAAGAGGCUUCUCACGACGUGACGGAGGUCUACAUGGGUGAAUGGAAACAGGACAAAAGGGCAGGGUAUGGUACAAGCCAAAGAUCAGAUGGCUACCAUUAUGCAGGGGAGUGGCAUAACAAUAAGAGACAUGGCUACGGGUCAUUGACAUACCCUAAUGGCCAGAAGGAGGAAGGAAAAUGGAAACAGAAUAUGUUAGUUGCAUCAGGAAAAAAGAAACUCUUUGUUAUUGGAUCAAAAAAGAUAAGUGACCGGGUAGGGCAUGCUGUGGAUUUGGCAGGACAGGCUGCUAAUCUUGCGAGAGCAAAGGCUGACCUGGCAAUAUCUAGGGCUGCGUAUGCAAAGGAGAAAGCUGAGAUGUCUGAUGUGGAAGCCUCAGAAGCCAGAGAGGAAUCAAUCAAAGCUAGAGCUAGGGCUAAAGAUCUUGCUUCAACAUUACCACCAAGAGGCAUGUCCAUGAUGAAUGAUUAUGCAUCAGACGGAAUGGCUACCAGGAAGAUGGGCGUCAGGAUACAGGUUCCUGGUGGUGGUGUUGGUGUUGGUGGUGAUAGUGGUGGUGGUGGUGGUGAUGGUGGUGGAGCAGGAGAAGGUGGUGACAUCAAGCUAGACAGGAAAAAGAGCUUUUUUGGUCGUCACUUAGGGGGCUUUGAUCGUAAGAACAGAAUGAGAGGAACCAUUGUGAAAUCCAGAUCUGGAAGCAGGUCAGAACGUGGUGAGGGCUCCCAUCCAUCAUCUCAAUCAAGUGACCGGUCUAUUCCAAGUGGAUUGUCCAACGAAUGGGACGGCCGUGGAGCCAGUCCACAGAGUGACAGUCAAAUGAGAGAGGCUCGGUCGACGGGAAACCUUUGUGAUGGUAGUCCAGUUCCUAGGAGACAUCUCAGAACCUUGGACAGGAUGGGCAACUCUCAGCAGAGCAACCCGUCGGACUCCAGUCCUCAAAUGGAUAGGAGGAUGUUGACUAUGAGAGAGUAUCAUCAGAGGGAGUAUCAUAGCAUGGAUGAGAGAUACGGUCCUGAUGGUAGAGAAUACCACAUGGAUAGGAACAGGCAUUACAGUGAUAGGUCCUUAGCGGAUCUUACUCCUGAUUCAGGGAUCAGUACAACAUCAGAUUCUGACCGCUUGAGGAGGGAAGCCAUGAGAUCGAAUCAGAGGAAAGGACCACCUAGGAGACAACUCACCAGACAAGAGGGCCUGGAUGAUGCGUAUCACAGUAGCCAUGGAAACAAUCGUGAUCGAUACGAUGCCCACUAUAACGACUAUGGAGAUGAAUACUACGAAGAUGAAUCGAUAUAUGACAAGGAGGAGGAGGAUCCAUACCUUGAUGAUCGCAUGGUUGAUGACGAUGAUCAAGAGAAAUUAAAGCAACAACAGUUAAAACAGAAGAAGAAGAUCAAGAUCACUGAACUAGCUACCAAGGUAGAUGCAGCCCCUCCUGGACAUUACCGGACCUUCCAAGGAAGGUUUCCAGCAACAUGUGGUAUCAAGUAUCAACCUAAGCCAGAGGGGGAAGAGGAUGAUGUAAGAGACCCAGAGCUAGAUGGAGAGGGGGCACUUGUUGUACAUUCUGCUAAAAUGAACUGGGCUGCAAGCAAAGGCCUGACCGUUCUAGUCUUGGUGCUUAACGUGGGUUUCACAGUCCUAUUCACAAGUCUCUUCUUACAGAUGGAAGAAGAAGGGAACUGGGAUAGCUGGCCCUAGUCCUGGUCUAGCUAUUGGUCCUCGAUACAUGUACAUACCGUUUCUUGCUUCAAGUUUGACCGUGACGUGACAGCAAGCAUGGCCUUAAUUUUGUUUAUGAAUUGGAAGCCGUGAUUAAGUUGCAGCAAACGUCUUUGGCCUUGAGUUGUAGUCUCAUUCACCUUGCAUGACCUGUAUAUACACAAACUCUGUUUCUAAGGGAGCACCUGACUAGUUGAUAAAGGAGAUGGGCUCCUUACUGGUUCCACAAUGGAAACAUUACUCUACUUGGAGAUAGAAUUAUAGCCUACUCUACUAGAACGUUGGAUAUAGAAGCAGGAGUCCUUAUAAUUACAAGAAAACAAUGGAUAAAGUAUCAGAGGGGGUUGGUGUUGCAUGCCGCACCUAAUAUUUACUUAAACCUGGUCUGCCAGCAAGGGCCUUAUCUUCUUAGUCCUAGUCCUGAACGUAGGCUUUACAGUCCUCUUCACUAGCCUCUUUCUACAGAUAGAAGAAGAAGGAGAAUGGGAAAACUGGCCCUGACAUUCACAAGACCCUCUUCAACGAAUGACCACCAAACUGGUCACACCACCAGUCAUCCUGAUACCCAUGAUGUUGUAAGAGAGAGAGAGAAAAAAAAAGAGGAUUGAAGAGUCUAGGCAAGAGAGAGGGAGAACUCUUCCUCAUGAUGAUAAAAAUAAGUGACAAAGCACAAGAGUGAAAAUAAUUGACGUUUGAAAUUUAGUUUAGUAAACCAAUGAAAUCAGGAAUACGAUCUCAGAUCAUGAGCUCUCUCUUCACAAAAUACAUCAGCCUUGAUUUUACAUUCAUUUAUUAAUUUCAGCCUUUUUAUUGCUAUCUAUGAAUCAUAUGAGACAUGGAGUGCAUUAUAGAAUUGCUUUUUGUAGUAGAAUAUUCAUGAAUUAUGAAGUAGGAGGAGAAACUUAACAUAUAAAAAAAUUAUAUAAGACAUUAAGAAAUAAACAGUUUGAAAGUUUGGGACAAAUAAUUGACCAGAUAUUUGACUCAGAAAUAGUUUAUGUUCCCUGAGAAAACCUGAGACUACUGCUUGAAAACGAGAGACUCUCCUUGUUUCUGAUUGGCCGGCUAAAGUUGAGAAGAUUGCUAUGACAACUUACAUUUUUUUUGUCACUUUGAUUGUGCUUUGUGGAUAAGUGGAAAGAUAAUUUAUUUGUUGCAAAGCACAAAGGGCAGGAUCAUUCCAUUUUCUCAAAAGAAAAAUUUGAAAAAAACUAUUGGCCUGACGAAAAUAGGAUUACCUAAUAAUAGUACUGUAUGUUUUUCCUAUAUAUAUAUAUGAAUAAUAUGCUAUUCUAAAUUUCUUGGCCAAAUCAUUAUUUUUUUCAGAAGGGUGAAUAGUAACUUUUAAGAACGGGGAAAAAGCAACACAUUACUUAACAUUAUAAGGCACCUUUAGCAUUCUUUGGAAUGGAUACAUGUGCAUUAAUACUGUUACUAUUAUCAUCAUUUGUAUUACUAUUGCUAUCACUAUCAUUAGAAGUAGUCUCAAAUUGAAUCUUUAUUACAUGAUCAUACAAAUUGCAGUUAUUUGUUCCUGUUAUUCAAGAUACCAAGUAGCCAUUUUAUUCCUGAAUGAUGUGACCACCCUUAAGCUGCUACAAAAAAUAGUAAGAACUAUUACUUUAAAAGACAGAUUCUACUUCAUCAGGGCCCUGUUACUAUUAUGGUAACUUUGCCAUCCUAUUGUAACUACCAUGGUAACCAUUCUAAGCAGCCAAUCAGAAUCAAGGAUUACAGGGAAGUUACCAUUGGAUGGCAAAAUUACCAUAAUAGUAACUUUUAUGCAACGGGGCCCAGAGGGAGAUAUGUUUACAUACUUUGAAAAAUUUCGAACCCCUCCCCUUAAAUACUGUCAAAUGAUAUGAUAAUAUCAUAUGCUGAUACAGAAGGGCAUACAUUGUUUGCGGGCAUGUCAGGAUCCAAUGACCGGGGUGAUAAUAUAUCUGUAAAUCUCUUAGUGAUGUCAUUUUGAUGUAUUAAGCGCUAUAUAAAAUCUAAAUAUUGUUUUUAUUAAGGGCAUUAGCAUAUGUUAGCAUUGAUAUUGAGGCCUAUAUAUGGAUUUGCAGUGUGUGAAGUAUCUUACAGACACAAUACAAUCUCAUUUUAUACUGCACUAUAGAAAUUACAAUGUUAAAAGAACAUUUCAAGUAAAAUCACUAGGGAAUUAAGAUAUAUGAAUACAAUUUCAAAUGUUGUGGGUGUGAAUAUUUUACAGUGCAAGAGGCUGGCAAAGUUAUUAUAGAACUGAUUUCUUAUCUUUGAGGUGACUUUAUAAACUGUUUCUCUUUAUUUGGAAGCUGAUUGAUGUAAAAUAUUGCCCGAUAUCUUUGCAUUUACAUAUUAUGCCGAGUUUCCUUACUGCAUAGUAAAUGCAUUCGAGCAUUAAUAGUCU